AGAAGGCGUUACAGAUGUUACUAUAGCAACCGAAACAAGAUGGCUGCGUUCUUGGAACUGUGGAACAAGAGACAGCAGUUAGUUGAGGCCGUCUGUGAGGCUUGUAGAGAAGCUGAAGAUUGGAGAGAGAAGGAAUAUAAUGCAGCCAUUAAGAUACAGAGCUGGUUUAGAGGCUGUCGUGUCAGAGCAUAUCUUAGGUAUCUGAAUGAGUGUGCAGUAAUAAUACAAAAGACAUACAGGGGACAUUAUGGAAGACGUCAAUACAGAGAAUACCUUAAGGAGUACUAUGAUGAGCUCCAGCAUCAAUUUUAUAGUCACAUGGCAACAAUUAUACAAUCAGCUUGGAGAGGUUAUUAUACAAGAAAGUAUUUAUUCAAUUAUUAUGCUCAAAAGACUUAUCUUGCUGAACUGAAGAAAAAGAAUGAAGAAACAAGGCUGAUUUUACAAGAACAUAAGCAAAAGGAAAUAGAUAGGCAGCUCAAAAGAGAAAAAGAACUUCAAGAGAUUAUGAUUAGAAAAAAGGCUCUGCAGUACCACUACAUGUUGAGUACAGAAUCAUCUCCUGGUGUUUUCAAACAGCGUGAUACUGAAUCUGUAGAUCAGCUUGAAGCACAGAUGAGGUCCAUUCAUUAUCACAAUAACAGUACUGCCUCAAGUCUCACAGCAAGUAGAAGAAGACUGAGACAGAAACACACCAGCCAGCCUAAAAGAUACUGGUCAAAGGAUGAGUCGAGUGGAUCAUUGCCAGCUAUUGAUCUAACUGCUGCUGAUGGUGACUGUAGACUAAGGCACACACUUCCACCUAUAAAUAAGCCUCAGGGUCCAUUCAAGUUACCUAAAGAUGUUUGGCAGAAGAGGCACAGUGUUCUCAAGCCAACUCUACGAACCAGUACAUCUUACUCUUCUGUUGAGCAGGCUAGUGAAACAGUUGGAAACCGGAAAGGUGUAACUCAACCUUCCCCUCUCUCUUCCCCACAUUUCCUGCACGCAACUCCUCCUCCUCCUCUCUCUUCAAAUGCUCCACUUUAAUUUGGCCCUCCUCCUCCUCCUCCUUCUCUCUCUUCCUAUUAUUCACAACCUCUCUCUCCCAUCACCUCUUCCCUGCACACAUCCUUCACCUCCUCCAUUGCACUGUAGGUUAGAAUUACAGGACAAAGAAGACCAAAUGAUAGUAGUCAAUGAAAAGUUCCUUCCAUUCACAAAGUCUACAUUUCAAUAUCGUCAUCCUGUUAUGGC
Molecule: unclassified non-coding RNA, 1236 nt
Filed under: Amphimedon queenslandica
Lineage: Eukaryota; Metazoa; Porifera; Demospongiae; Haplosclerida; Niphatidae
Description: spermatogenesis-associated protein 17-like, transcript variant X1
Source: RNAcentral